GACGAACGCUGGCGGCGUGCUUAACACAUGCAAGUCGAACGGAAAGGCCCUGCUUUUGUGGGGUGCUCGAGUGGCGAACGGGUGAGUAACACGUGAGUAACCUGCCCUUGACUUUGGGAUAACUUCAGGAAACUGGGGCUAAUACCGGAUAGGAGCUCCUGCUGCAUGGUGGGGGUUGGAAAGUUUCGGCGGUUGGGGAUGGACUCGCGGCUUAUCAGCUUGUUGGUGGGGUAGUGGCUUACCAAGGCUUUGACGGGUAGCCGGCCUGAGAGGGUGACCGGCCACAUUGGGGCUGAGAUACGGCCCAGACUCCUACGGGAGGCAGCAGUGGGGAAUAUUGCACAAUGGGCGGAAGCCUGAUGCAGCAACGCCGCGUGCGGGAUGACGGCCUUCGGGUUGUAAACCGCUUUCGCCUGUGACGAAGCGUGAGUGACGGUAAUGGGUAAAGAAGCACCGGCUAACAACGUG
This 468-nucleotide ribosomal RNA is filed under the name uncultured bacterium. Its description in RNAcentral is "partial 16S ribosomal RNA". It matches the Rfam family "Bacterial small subunit ribosomal RNA", at positions 28 to 507 of the family's 1533-position model. The record is from RNAcentral.